GGAGUUAGCCGGUGCUUCUUCUGUGAGUGAUGUCCUUCCUGCCGGCUAUUAACCCGCAGGCCUUCUUCCUCACUGAAAGUGCUUUACAACCCGAAGGCCUUCUUCACACACGCGGCAUGGCUGGAUCAGGGUUGCCCCCAUUGUCCAAUAUUCCCCACUGCUGCCUCCCGUAGGAGUCUGGGCCGUGUCUCAGUCCCAGUGUGGCUGAUCAUCCUCUCAGACCAGAUACGGAUCGUCGACUUGGUGAGCCGUUACCUCACCAACCAGCUAAUCCGACAUAGGCUCAUCCGAUAGCGCGAGGCCCGAAGGUCCCCCGCUUUCCCCCGUAGGGCGUAUGCGGUAUUAGCCUGGGUUUCCCCCAGGUUAUCCCCCACUACCGGGCAGAUUCCUAUGCAUUACUCACCCGUCCGCCGCUCGCCACCAGGGAGCAAGCUCCCCGUGCUGCCGCUCGACUUGCAUGUGUAGCUGCCGCCAGCGUCAUCGNGACGCGAGANACAACUCNACNGAGGCGGCGNGACGACGCGCA
This 526-nucleotide ribosomal RNA is filed under the name uncultured bacterium. RNAcentral's name for it is "partial 16S ribosomal RNA". The record is from RNAcentral.